GACAACCCCUUCACAGAAGAAGAAGUGUGGGCGGCAAUCUGUGCGUCUCCGGCCGAGAAGGCGCCGGGACCCUACGACUUAAACGGGGCUUUCUUUCACGCAUGCUGGCAAACGAUGAAGGUGGACAUCAUGGUAGUCUUCCAUGCAUUCUAUCGGCUCGCCGGAGGCGACUUUGUGGCCCUGAACCAUGCUAUGAUCAUCCUACUGCCAAAGAAAGAUGGCGCAACCAAAUUGUCUGACUUCCGGCCAAUUAGUCUAAUCCAUUAG
This 267-nucleotide ribosomal RNA is filed under the name Triticum aestivum (bread wheat). RNAcentral's name for it is "partial small subunit ribosomal RNA". The record is from RNAcentral. Lineage: Eukaryota; Viridiplantae; Streptophyta; Magnoliopsida; Poales; Poaceae.